This 253-nucleotide ribosomal RNA is filed under the name uncultured bacterium. RNAcentral's name for it is "partial 16S ribosomal RNA". It matches the Rfam family "Bacterial small subunit ribosomal RNA", at positions 524 to 776 of the family's 1533-position model. The record is from RNAcentral.
UACGUAGGGGGCAAGCUUUGUCCGGAAUUACUGGGCGUAAAGCGCGCGCAGGCGGUUUCUUAAGUCUGGUGUGAAAGCCCACGGCUCAACCGUGGAGGGUCAUUGGAAACUGGGGAACUUGAGUGCAGAAGAGAAAAGCGGAAUUCCACGUGUAGCGGUGAAAUGCGUAGAGAUGUGGAGGAACACCAGUGGCGAAGGCGGCUUUUUGGUCUGUAACUGACGCUGAGGAGCGAAAGCGUGGGGAGCAAACAGG